CAAUGGGGGGACCCUGAUGCAGCGACGCCGCGCUGGAGGAAGAAGGUCUUCGGAUUGUAAACUCCUGUUGUUGAGGAAGAUAAUGACGGUACUCAACAAGGAAGUGACGGCUAACUACGUGCCAGCAGCCGCGGUAAAACGUAGGGUGCAAGCGUUGUCCGGAAUUACUGGGUGUAAAGGGAGCGCAGGCGGGAAGACAAGUUGGAAGUGAAAACCAUGGGCUCAACCCAUGAAUUGCUUUCAAAACUGUUUUUCUUGAGUAGUGCAGAGGUAGAUGGAAUUCCCGGUGUAGCGGUGGAAUGCGUAGAUAUCGGGAGGAACACCAGUGGCGAAGGCGGUCUACUGGGCACCAACUGACGCUGAGGCUCGAAAGUGUGGGUAGCAAACAGGAUUAGAUACCCUGGUAGUCCAAGGGCGAAUUC
This 422-nucleotide ribosomal RNA is filed under the name uncultured bacterium. RNAcentral describes it as "SSU rRNA". It matches the Rfam family "Bacterial small subunit ribosomal RNA", at positions 369 to 808 of the family's 1533-position model. The record is from RNAcentral.